UACGAAGGGGGCUAGCGUUGCUCGGAAUCACUGGGCGUAAAGGGUGCGUAGACGGGUCUUUAAGUCAGGGGUGAAAUCCUGGAGCUCAACUCCAGAACUGCCUUUGAUACUGAGGAUCUUGAGUUCGGGAGAGGUGAGUGGAACUGCGAGUGUAGAGGUGAAAUUCGUAGAUAUUCGCAAGAACACCAGUGGCGAAGGCGGCUCACUGGCCCGAUACUGACGCUGAGGCACGAAAGCGUGGGGAGCAAACAGG
This 253-nucleotide ribosomal RNA is filed under the name uncultured bacterium. RNAcentral describes it as "partial 16S ribosomal RNA". It matches the Rfam family "Bacterial small subunit ribosomal RNA", at positions 524 to 776 of the family's 1533-position model. The record is from RNAcentral.